This 497-nucleotide ribosomal RNA is filed under the name uncultured bacterium. Its description in RNAcentral is "partial 16S ribosomal RNA". It matches the Rfam family "Bacterial small subunit ribosomal RNA", at positions 28 to 507 of the family's 1533-position model. The record is from RNAcentral.
GAUGAACGCUGGCGGCGUGCCUAAUACAUGCAAGUCGAGCGAACAGAUGAGGAGCUUGCUCCUCUGACGUUAGCGGCGGACGGGUGAGUAACACGUGGAUAACCUACCUAUAAGACUGGGAUAACUUCGGGAAACCGGAGCUAAUCCCGGAUAAUAUAUUGAACCGCAUGGUUCAAUAGUGAAAGACGGUUUUGCUGUCACUUAUAGAUGGAUCCGCGCCGCAUUAGCUAGUUGGUAAGGUCACGGCUUACCAAGGCAACGAUGCGUAGCCGACCUGAGAGGGUGAUCGGCCACACUGGAACUGAGACACGGUCCAGACUCCUACGGGAGGCAGCAGUAGGGAAUCUUCCGCAAUGGGCGAAAGCCUGACGGAGCAACGCCGCGUGAGUGAUGAAGGUCUUCGGAUCGUAAAACUCUGUUAUUAGGGAAGAACAAAUGUGUAAGUAACUAUGCACGUCUUGACGGUACCUAAUCAGAAAGCCACGGCUAACUACGUG